Molecule: ribosomal RNA, 245 nt
Filed under: uncultured Shewanella sp.
Lineage: Bacteria; Pseudomonadati; Pseudomonadota; Gammaproteobacteria; Alteromonadales; Shewanellaceae
Description: partial 16S ribosomal RNA
Rfam family: Bacterial small subunit ribosomal RNA
Source: RNAcentral
UACGGAGGGUGCGAGCGUUAAUCGGAAUUACUGGGCGUAAAGCGUGCGCAGGCGGUUUGUUAAGCGAGAUGUGAAAGCCCCGGGCUCAACCUGGGAUGGUCAUUUCGAACUGGCAAGCUAGAGUCUCGUAGAGGGGGGUAGAAUUCCAGGUGUAGCGGUGAAAUGCGUAGAGAUCUGGAGGAAUACCGGUGGCGAAGGCGGCCCCCUGGACGAAGACUGACGCUCAGGCACGAAAGCGUGGGGAG